UAGGGAAUCUUCCACAAUGGACGCAAGUCUGAUGGAGCAACGCCGCGUGAGUGAAGAAGGUUUUCGGACCGUAAAGCUCUGUUGUUGGUGAAGAAGGAUAGAGGUAGUAACUGGCCUUUAUUUGACGGUAAUCAACCAGAAAGUCACGGCUAACUACGUGCCAGCAGCCGCGGUAAUACGUAGGUGGCAAGCGUUGUCCGGAUUUAUUGGGCGUAAAGCGAGCGCAGGCGGAAGAAUAAGUCUGAUGUGAAAGCCCUCGGCUUAACCGAGGAAUUGCAUCGGAAACUGUUUUCUUGAGUGCAGAAGAGGAGAGUAGAACUCCAUGUGUAGCGGUGGAAUGCGUAGAUAUAUGGAAGAAUACCAGUGGCGAAGGCGGCUCUCUGGUCUGCAACUGACGCUGAGGCUCGAAAGCAUGGGCAGCGAACAGGAUUAGAUACCCUGGUAGUCCAUGCCGUAAACGAUGAGUGCUAAGUGUUGGGAGGCUUCCGCCUCUCAGUGCUGCAGCUAACGCAUUAAGCACUCCGCCUGGGGGAGUACGACCGCAAGGUUGAA
This 552-nucleotide ribosomal RNA is filed under the name uncultured bacterium. RNAcentral describes it as "partial 16S ribosomal RNA". It matches the Rfam family "Bacterial small subunit ribosomal RNA", at positions 355 to 898 of the family's 1533-position model. The record is from RNAcentral.